This is a long non-coding RNA of Cydia pomonella (codling moth), 1643 nucleotides long. RefSeq lists it as uncharacterized. Lineage: Eukaryota; Metazoa; Arthropoda; Insecta; Lepidoptera; Tortricidae. The transcript has 2 exons. The record is from RefSeq and is a predicted model, not a curated record.
GCUGAAAAAGAAGACAUUUAUUAAUUAUUGUAUUACUUAAUAAUUAAUGUUUCAGUAGUACAGUCAGCAUCAAUAGUAGCGGAUGAAACAACGCGCAAAAAGUAACUGACAUUCCGGAUAACUUUUCCAAAAUAGAUAAAUCUCUCAAAUUUACGUUCAAAAGUAUAUUAUUUAUAGUCUCAAUUGUUCUGCAUAUAGAACUAUCACUUUUUGUUAAGCUGUUACAGAAUGGUAGAUACUUUUGAAACCUUGUUUGAUCCGCUACUUUUGAUGCUGACUGUACUAUAAAUAAAUAAGUAAGCUUAGAGUAAAUAAUAAGUUGUAUGGGAGGUAUGGUAAAACGUAUUAUGAAUAAAUUUAAAACUCGUUUUAAAGAUAAUACUAAUGAAGCUUCAAGGAUGACAAGUUAGAACGACCGGGGCCCCGGUCGAGGCUUCCGACACUUCUUUUUCUAUGACAUGUGAUCGGUGAUCAUGUGAUGAUUACAGGUGAUCGGUGAUCACGUGAUGAUUACAGGUGAUAGGUGAUCACGUGAUGUUUACAGGUGAUCGGUGAUCACGUGAUGCUUUCUAUAGAAAACUGAACUUUCUAUGUAUUUAAGUAUUUAUAAAUAUUUAUAUAUUACAUAUAUCGUUGUCUAAGUACCCUCAACACAAGCCUUAUUGAGCUUACUGUGGGACUUAACAAUUUGUGUAAUAAUGUCCUAUAAUAUUUAAUAUGUAAACUACUAUACAUAUCGCGUCGAAUGAUGGUCUCUAUAACAGCUCAUUUUUAUAUAGAAUAAAUAAAAUAAUAAUAAAUAUUAUACGACAUUAUUACACAAAUUGACUAAGUCCCACGGUAAGCUCAAUAAGGCUUGUGUUGAGGGUACUUAGAACAACGAUAUAUAUAAUAUUUAUAAAUACUUAAAUACAUAGAAAACACCCAUAUAUGACUCAGGAACAAAUAUCCAUGCUCAUCACACGAAUAAAUGUCCUUACCAGGAUUUGAACCCGGGACCAUCAGCUUCGUAGGCAGGGUCACUACCCACUAGGCCAAACCGGUCGUCAAAGAAUAGUUUAUAGACAUUUUUCAGAAGUCUUGUACAUUCAUUUAUUAAGAAAUGAAAUGUACAUUUAAGUACUUUAGUAGUAAAUUCGCUAGGGACCUCAUACUGUCACUGUGACAAGGUACGUAACGGUACUGAAAUUGACCAUACCUCCGUACUUGUAACCUCGAAGUGAAAUUUUCAAAACCGCCUUCCGCUUGUCGCGGGUCAAAGAUUAACGUUCGCCUAUUGUAUUGUUACUUUAAUGGACUUAUAUUCGCAAUUUCAAGCCACGUCGCAGCGAGGAGUUUUAUCGUUUGCCAAUUGGUCAUAGCAAAUCGGUUAGAACCACUGCACUGGCAGUAUUAUCACGUAAUGUAUGAGUUAAAGUGCAGAGUAAGUAAUAGUAAUAUAAUUUCAGACGUAUUGAAUAGUAUUGGACCCGGGUAUGUCCUUAAACUACGUCCAAAAGAGAGGUAUGGGCAUUGUGAAUGUCAUCUCGCCUUGUGUGGUAGGGCACAGCACAGUGGAUGUCAUUCCAGAUCUAGAGCAGAGCCCAACUGGGGAAGUACCUCCACCUUACAGAAAACCGCAGCCAAAUAACACUAGACCCUAC